GCUAUUAUAGUUUUAAUAAUAUUGAAUUGCAAAUUCAAAGAUAGGUGUGCCUUAAUAGUU
This 60-nucleotide transfer RNA is filed under the name Obscurella hidalgoi. RNAcentral describes it as "tRNA-Cys". The record is from RNAcentral. Lineage: Eukaryota; Metazoa; Mollusca; Gastropoda; Architaenioglossa; Cochlostomatidae.